GGACUACCGGGGUAUCUAAUCCUGUUUGCUCCCCUAGCUUUCGUCCCUCAGCGUCAGUCACGGUCCAGCGAGCCGCCUUCGCCACGGGUGUUCCUGCAGAUAUCUACGCAUUUCACCGCUACACCUGCAAUUCCGCUCGCCUCUCCCGCACUCGAGCACGGCAGUUUCGGAGGCAGCCUCUGAGUUAAGCCCAGAGAUUUCACCCCCGACUUGCCGCACCGCCUACGGACCCUUUACGCCCAGUAAUUCCGAGCAACGCUGGCCCCCUACGUCUUACCGCGGCUGCUGGCAC
RNAcentral lists this ribosomal RNA (292 nucleotides) under uncultured Acidobacteriota bacterium. Its description in RNAcentral is "uncultured Acidobacteria bacterium partial 16S ribosomal RNA". The record is from RNAcentral. Lineage: Bacteria; Pseudomonadati; Acidobacteriota.